This 325-nucleotide long non-coding RNA is filed under the name Theobroma cacao (cacao). RNAcentral's name for it is "long non-coding RNA (TCAC_LNC005881)". The record is from RNAcentral. Lineage: Eukaryota; Viridiplantae; Streptophyta; Magnoliopsida; Malvales; Malvaceae.
UUCAGUGGUUUUUAAUCACAUCAUCAUAAACCCUAGCCUCCAUCUUUCUCUCUCUUUCUUUCUCUUCCGAAGCCGGGAUUCACGUGAAACUCAGUCUCUCUAUUCUCUACCCUGAGCUCCUCUCUCUCUCUCUCUCUCUCUCUUCAUUUCUAGUUGUAGAGAGACGACCNCUCUCUCUCUCUCUCUCUCUCUUCAUUUCUAGUUGUAGAGAGAGACCCAUCUUCUUUUCCUCUUUCUCUUGGUAAAGAACAGAGGCCGUGGGUUUUUUUUUUCCCUUGUUGUAUUAAUUUUUGGAGUUGAUCGAUCUUUUUCUGUACGACGUUGU